UGGGGAAUUUUGGACAAUGGGCGAAAGCCUGAUCCAGCAAUGCCGCGUGUGUGAAGAAGGCCUUCGGGUUGUAAAGCACUUUUGUCCGGAAAGAAAUCCUUGGCUCUAAUACAGUCGGGGGAUGACGGUACCGGAAGAAUAAGCACCGGCUAACUACGUGCCAGCAGCCGCGGUAAUACGUAGGGUGCAAGCGUUAAUCGGAAUUACUGGGCGUAAAGCGUGCGCAGGCGGUUUGCUAAGACCGAUGUGAAAUCCCCGGGCUCAACCUGGGAACUGCAUUGGUGACUGGCAGGCUAGAGUAUGGCAGAGGGGGGUAGAAUUCCACGUGUAGCAGUGAAAUGCGUAGAGAUGUGGAGGAAUACCGAUGGCGAAGGCAGCCCCCUGGGCCAAUACUGACGCUCAUGCACGAAAGCGUGGGGAGCAAACAGGAUUAGAUACCUUGGUAGUCCACGCCCUAAACGAUGUCAACUAGUUGUUGGGGAUUCAUUUCCUUAGUAACGUAGCUAACGCGUGAAGUUGACCGCCUGGGGAGUACGGUCGCAAGAUUAAAACUUAAAGGAAUUGACGGGGUCAUAGCUGUUCC
Molecule: ribosomal RNA, 583 nt
Filed under: uncultured bacterium
Lineage: Bacteria
Description: partial 16S ribosomal RNA
Rfam family: Bacterial small subunit ribosomal RNA
Source: RNAcentral